This 460-nucleotide ribosomal RNA is filed under the name uncultured bacterium. Its description in RNAcentral is "partial 16S ribosomal RNA". It matches the Rfam family "Bacterial small subunit ribosomal RNA", at positions 338 to 795 of the family's 1533-position model. The record is from RNAcentral.
CCUACGGGAGGCAGCAGUGAGGAAUAUUGGUCAAUGGGCGCGAGCCUGAACCAGCCAAGUAGCGUGAAGGAUGAAUGCUCUACGGGUUGUAACUUUUUUUUAUAAAGGAAUAAAUUGCGGCAUGUGUGCAUUUUUCUAUGUACUUUAUGAUUAAGGCACGGCUAACUCUGUGCCAGCAGCCGCGGUAAUACGGAGGAUCCGAGCGUUAUCCGGAUUUAUUGGGUUUAAAGGGAGCGUAGAUGGGUUGUUAAGUCAGUUGUGAAAGUUUGCGGCUCAACCGUAAAAUUGCAAUUGAUACUGGUAUUCUAGAGUAAAGUUGAGGUAGGCGGAAUUCGUGGUGUAGCGGUGAAAUGCUUAGAUAUCACGAAGAACUCCGAUUGCGAAGGCAACUUACUAAACCACCACUGACAUUGAUGCGCGAAAGUGUGGGUAGCAAACAGGAUUAGAUACCCCUGUAGUC